This 497-nucleotide ribosomal RNA is filed under the name uncultured bacterium. Its description in RNAcentral is "partial 16S ribosomal RNA". It matches the Rfam family "Bacterial small subunit ribosomal RNA", at positions 28 to 507 of the family's 1533-position model. The record is from RNAcentral.
GAUGAACGCUGGCGGCGUGCCUAAUACAUGCAAGUCGAGCGAACAGACGAGGAGCUUGCUCCUCUGACGUUAGCGGCGGACGGGUGAGUAACACGUGGAUAACCUACCUAUAAGACUGGGAUAACUUCGGGAAACCGGAGCUAAUACCGGAUAAUAUAUUGAACCGCAUGGUUCAAUAGUGAAAGACGGUUUUGCUGUCACUUAUAGAUGGAUCCGCGCCGCAUUAGCUAGUUGGUAAGGUAACGGCUUACCAAGGCAACGAUGCGUAGCCGACCUGAGAGGGGGGUAGGCCACACGGGAACUGAGACACGGUCCAGACUCCUACGGGAGGCAGCAGUAGGGAAUCGUCCGCAAUGGGCGAGAGCCUGACGGAGCAACGCCGCGUGAGUGAUGAAGGUCUUCGGAUCGUAAAACUCUGUUAUUAGGGAAGAACAAAUGUGUAAGUAACUAUGCACGUCUUGACGGUACCUAAUCAGAAAGCCACGGCUAACUACGUG